RNAcentral lists this ribosomal RNA (453 nucleotides) under uncultured bacterium. RNAcentral's name for it is "bacterial SSU rRNA". It matches the Rfam family "Bacterial small subunit ribosomal RNA", at positions 29 to 524 of the family's 1533-position model. The record is from RNAcentral.
AACGAACGCUGGCGGCAUGCCUAACACAUGCAAGUCGAACGAGACCUUCGGGUCUAGUGGCGCACGGGUGCGUAACGCGUGGGAAUCUGCCCCUUGGUUCGGAAUAACUUCGGGAAACUGAAGCUAAUACCGGAUAAUGACGUAAGUCCAAAGAUUUAUCGCCAAGGGAUGAGCCCGCGUAGGAUUAGCUAGUUGGUGGGGUAAAGGCUCACCAAGGCGACGAUCCUUAGCUGGUCUGAGAGGAUGAUCAGCCACACUGGGACUGAGACACGGCCCAGACUCCUACGGGAGGCAGCAGUGGGGAAUAUUGGACAAUGGGCGAAAGCCUGAUCCAGCAAUGCCGCGUGAGUGAUGAAGGCCUUAGGGUUGUAAAGCUCUGUUGCAAGGGAAUAAGAAAGUGAAUGUACCUUGUGAGGAAGGAUCGGCUAACUUCGUGCCAGCAGCCGCGGUAAU